AGAAGUUGUACGGCGGUUGAGGAG
RNAcentral lists this non-coding RNA (24 nucleotides) under Arabidopsis thaliana (thale cress). Lineage: Eukaryota; Viridiplantae; Streptophyta; Magnoliopsida; Brassicales; Brassicaceae. The record is from RNAcentral.